GAGGAGAGUGCAGGCUGUGCCUUGGGGAGCAGCUAUAGAUAAGGCUGGAGAAGCGAGCAGGGAUCUGGUAACAAAAGACACUGCUGAGCCCUGAAAACGGACUUGGGUGGAAACAGACAAGACCCCUACCUACAAGGUGGCUCAAGGCGGGGGAGGCAGACAGACAUUCAAAUAACAAAAAUACCUGCCAUGGAGAGGUCCUUGCUGAAUGCCAGAACUUCAUGGGGCUCCCGUCCAGUGGACUCAUCACCGGGGUUAUCAGCCCCUUUUGCAGAUGAGAAAACUGAAGUUCAGAAAUGUGAAGAAACUUGUCUAGGUCCCCACACCUAGUGACUGGCAGAGCCUCAACUAUCAUAGAACACAGACCAGCCUGACUCCGAAGUGUGGGAUCUUUCUCAACCGCACACAGCUGCUGGGGUACGUUUCAAGUUUCUGGGUGAAGACACCAGGCCAAGGCAGAGUCGAGAAGACGCAUGGACACCAGAGGCAUACAGCUUUCAGAGGCUCCGGUCUGGGCAGGAUGUAAUUUGCAGGCUACGGAAGAGGAUUUGAGAAGAGUACGCUCCUCUGGGCCGUGAGGGAACCAGGGAAACGACAGCGUCGGGGCCUUUAGCCUUAUCUCCCAGCCUGCCGUUCUGUCAGAGGAAAUUAGAUUUGCUUGGCACAACCUGCUCCUUGUGAGGUCAUUUUGGCUGCGGUCUGCACGUUCUGCUCUCCUAGAACUCAGAGGCUGUUCUAAUUGCAGAAAGGAGCUGAGAACGAGGUGGCCUCCAUCCCAGAGUGGUCUAGACCAACAGCUGGGGGCCAGCUUCCCCACAUCUCCAGCCACAUCCCUUCUACAGGAUUCCCUCACUCCAGCAAGGCUUCACCUCCUGCCCGUUGCCUUGGAACAUGCUGUUCCCUCCCUGGGAAUAGCCCUUACCACCACCCUACCCCCAGAUUGUCUGGGCUGGGCUCCAGGUGCCUCUGUUCAGGCUAAGACAGAUGUCCCUGCCCCAUGUCCGCAGCCUACCCUGGAUUCACCACACCAUGUGUGAUGCCCAGGGCAUUUCAAUGGUCUGCUCUGUGUCUGGCUCUCUCCCAGCCAGUGCCCUCCAGGAGGGCAGGGACAGGGAACGACAAGGCCCUCAGUGGAUGUUUGCAGAGUGAACCCAUGGAGAUCAGCUGUUUUCUCUGAUUUUCUGUCCCUGCCCCCUUAGAUGCAAUGCCUUCAGAUAUCAAUCUAUUCAUCCAGACUCGCUUCCGACAACCAUUUUGCUCAAAAACAGAGAUCUUGGAGAGACUUACCCUGUCGAUUUGGUUUGGUUUAGAAGCAGGUGUAUGUCUGCUGGACUGCUGGUCUUUAAUAAGAGUGCCACGCAGGCCAGAGGACAAAAGUUUCCCAAGCGCCUGGCCAGCUUUCUCCAGUGUUUUAGGGCUAGCUUGGGGGUUUGUCAUAAGGACCGUGGUCAUCCAUGUAGACCUGUGACGUCAGCUUUGGAGAGUGGUUGGGGACCUAGGUUCUGGAGGUGGACUACUCAGUUUCCAGCCUCAGAGACACUGAACCUCUUUGUACCUCGGUUUCCUCAUCUGUACAUUAUCUGCCUGACUGAGGUCUGGUCAACAUUAAAGGAGCUCAUCCAAGUAAAGCCCUUGACCCAGCGUCUGGUGUAAAGUGAGUGCUCAGUGGAGGUGAGCUAGCGUCUCUUAGCACUGCACCUGUAACUGAUGGAAACGCCAGCCCAGGCCUCCGCUGUGACUGUAACAGAGGCCGCAUAGCUGCAGUGAGACAGCGACAUCCCUUCUGCCAGAGCUGAGCUCCGGGAAUUAGACGUUGGAGUUACUCCUUAAUUCAGAUGAGUUUUUGUGAACAGGAAGACAUCAUUCAAGAAGAGAUAUGAGACCUGUCUGUACCUGAUGCGGUGUGAGCCUUUCUCUUCCUCAAUGGGUGCCUGGUUAUGUGAGUUGGUUGCCUUGGUGGUUGGGUCACCUGAUGGCAUACAGCAGCGGUCAGCAAACAACAGUUCUCAGGCCAAAUCAGGCUAAAUAAAGCUUUACUGAAACACAGUCACGACCAUUCCCUUACAUAAUGCCUAUGAGUGUUUUGCACCAUAAUGGCAGAGUUCAGUAGUUGUAACCGAGACCACAGGGCUUGCACAAUCUACAAUAGUUUCUGUCUGGUCCUUUACAGAGAAGUUUCCCUGGUGUUAGACUGAAGUAGGAUUAAAGCUGAUUAAACUCAACCAGAACACUGGGCACCAUCCCAUCUCUCGCUCUCCCUCAAGCCCUGGCAUCAGGCUGGUCACCAAGACCAGAUUAUUUUGCCCCACACUGUCUCAUACAUUUGGUCCCCCAUCUCUUCCACAAAAGCCACAGCCUUCGUUCAGCCCUUUCCCCACCCCUCUUGACUAUCACACACGAGGGCCACCACCAGCCCAUAAGGUGUCUGGGUGAAUUAGAUAAGGAUAUCUUCUGUGGGUCGAUGCAGCUCCACCACUCGUCGCUGGGCAGCAGGGGUGCCUCUUGGCUGGAAAGCCCCCACCUAACACAAUUGAUUAUACUGGAUCAACUGUAGCUCUUACACCUCUUGGUUCCGUCUGUUGAUUAUAGUGUCUUCUGGCGUCCCUGUCCAGGCAGUCCUCCACACCAGAGCUAGAGUGAUCCUUGUAACCAACUUGACCACUUCAUGGCUUCCCCUGGCCCCCAGGACAGAGCCUAUGAACAUGAUAUUCAAGGCCCUUCGUGGUUUGGUCUUGGCUAGUCUCCCUGUCCCAUGGCUCAAAACCUGCUCAGUCCACAUCACAUCUGAGCCCCGUCAUGCAAUUUGAGCCCCCACCCCCACCGCCACUCACCAUGAGACCUAGAUUUCCACACUUGCUAAUAUUUGGGGGAUCAGCACAGUCUUGUCCUUAGUGAAAUACUCUGCUUUUCCUCUUACCCAUCCAGAAAAUUCCUAGUCAUCCUUCAAAUCCACUGCAAGCAUCUUCUCCCUGUUUCACCCUCCCCAGUUCUCCCAAGCAGACUUGGACCCUCCUUCUGCAGUUCGAUUCAACCAUGGUCCAUAGCCCAUCAGUGGGUCAGGUUAGCAGGAUAGUGGACCUUGAUGAAUGCUUCUUGAAAGAUGAAUUAGGGUGAAAACACAUAAGUGCAUCAUCUUUGUCAGGUGUGGGUAUAACACAGUAUGAACAGCACAAGCCAUGGAGCUGGACUGCCUACGUGCAAAUCCAGCUCUGCAAUUGAUUAGCAAUGGCCUUGGGCAAGGGACUUCACCUUUCUGUGUCUCAAUUCCCUCAUUUGGAAAACAAUGAUAAUGAUAGCACUUCCUUUAUGGCCUACCAUGAACAUUAAAUCAGUAUAUUACUUAAUAUAUGUUUGUAUAUUAUGUAUAAAUAUAUUUGUGUGUUUGCACAACUAUACCUUGGAGAUAUAGCACAUUUGGUUCCAGAUCAAUGCAAUAAAGCAAAUAUUGUAACAAAUCAAGUCACACAACUUUUUUGGUGUCCUGGUGCAUAUAAAUUAUGUUUACACUAUAGUCUAUUAAGUAUG
This is a long non-coding RNA of Bos taurus (domestic cattle), 3525 nucleotides long. The record is from Ensembl. Lineage: Eukaryota; Metazoa; Chordata; Mammalia; Artiodactyla; Bovidae.